RNAcentral lists this ribosomal RNA (237 nucleotides) under uncultured bacterium. Its description in RNAcentral is "partial 16S ribosomal RNA". It matches the Rfam family "Bacterial small subunit ribosomal RNA", at positions 15 to 244 of the family's 1533-position model. The record is from RNAcentral.
GAUCAUGGCUCAGAUUGAACGCUGGCGGCAGGCCUAACACAUGCAAGUCGAACGGUAACAGGAAGCAGCUUGCUGCUUCGCUGACGAGUGGCGGACGGGUGAGUAAUGUCUGGGAAACUGCCUGAGUGGAGGGGGAUAACUACUGGAAACGGUAGCUAAUACCGCAUAACGUCGCAAGACCGAAAGAGGGGGGACCUUCGGGUCCUCUUGCCAUCGGAUGUGCCCAGAUGGGAUUAG